UUCUUGAAACUGGUCUGUUUGGUAGAGAUACAUUUGUCUUGUAGGAUUGUAUAUGCUGAUGAAUUCACAUUCUUUUGUUCUCUUCAAUUUUAGGGUUCGACAUCAAUCUCUAGUGCCGAUCUCUUUGGCCACGAUGCCAGUAAUUCAUCUGUUGACCUCACAGCAAACGAUCUCAUUAAUCGUCUCUCUUUUCAGGUACAAAAGGGGNUUGGCCACGAUGCCAGUAAUUCAUCUGUUGACCUCACAGCAAACGAUCUCAUUAAUCGUCUCUCUUUUCAGGUACAAAAGGGGCAUGUUUGGUGCACUGAAUUAUUUUGUAAUGGAGGAGACAACUUAAAUUUUUUUAACUUUUUUCCUUAGUCCUCCUGCCCACUAAACUUACCCAGGCGUAUACGUUGGGCAUGUUUGUUCGGAUUUAUUUUCCUUUUGAUUUCUCACACCCCCUCCUUAAUAUAUAUCUUUCUCGUAUAUCACGGUCUCUUUUUGGUUUUUAUAUUUGCCGAUCUUACGGUAUCCAAUAUUUAACUCCUCG
RNAcentral lists this long non-coding RNA (532 nucleotides) under Olea europaea (common olive). RNAcentral describes it as "long non-coding RNA (OEUR_LNC002890)". Lineage: Eukaryota; Viridiplantae; Streptophyta; Magnoliopsida; Lamiales; Oleaceae. The record is from RNAcentral.